RNAcentral lists this ribosomal RNA (443 nucleotides) under uncultured bacterium. Its description in RNAcentral is "partial 16S ribosomal RNA". It matches the Rfam family "Bacterial small subunit ribosomal RNA", at positions 338 to 795 of the family's 1533-position model. The record is from RNAcentral.
CCUACGGGUCGCUGCAGUGGAGAAUAUUGGGCAAUGGGCGCAAGCCUGACCCAGCAACGCCGCGUGAAGGAAGAAGGCUUUCGGGUUGUAAACUUCUUUUAUCAGGGACGAAGCCAGUGACGGUACAUGAUGAAUAAUCCACGGGUAAGUACGUGCCAGCAGACGCGGUAAUAGGUAGGUGGGAAGAGUUAUCCGGAUUUACUGUGUGUAAAGGGCGUGUAGGCGGGAGUGCAAGUACGAGUGGAAAGAUAUGGGCUCAACCCAUAGCAUGCAUUUGAAACUGUAAUUCUUGAGUGCUGGAGAGGCAAUCGGAAUUCCGUGUGUAGCGGUGGAAUGCGUAGAUAUACGGAGGAACACCAGUGGCGAAGGCGGAUUGCUGAACAGUAACUGACGCUGAGGCGCGAAAGCGUGGGGAGCAAACAGGAUUAGAUACCCCGGUAGUC